UUGCGAUAUCAAACGUAAUUUUAAAACAAUAAAGUUGAGGUAACGCAGACAGAUGCGUCAACGGAAGCAUAUGCAAUCGUUGAACAACCUCAGCUCACGAGAGAUGUCAGCAGCUGAGAAACAGUGGAGAUACAGGACUCGGCAAGAUGCUGAUCCCUCAAAAAGAGCAGAAUAUUUACAAAAGCAAAGAGAUGCAUGGGACAGGCUUAUUAGGCAAGGAAAGGUGAACCAAUCUUAGAGUUGAGUGAGAUGGAGAAACAAUGCAAAAGAGACAACUGGAGAAAAGCACAACAGAGAAGAAGACUAGCGAGUGCUAGAAAACAUAACUACUCCAGCAGACAGCCCUGAAUUGGUCCAGCCACCUGAAGAAUCAAGAUGAACGUGGUACCGUCAGGCAUUUGGAAAUUGCUCCGAAGGAUGAACCAGACUUGUGGAGGUCCACAAUGUUUUUUUCUGAGGUCUUGGCUGAUUUCUUUUGAUUUUCCCAUGAUGUCAUCAAAGAGGCACCGAGUUUGAAGGUAGGCCUUAAAAUACAUCCAUAGGUACACCUCCAAUUCAGUACACCUCCUAUCAGAAACUAAUUGUCUAAAGGCUUGACAUAAUUUUCCCACUGGAAUUGUGAUAUAGUCAAUUAAAAGUGAAACAAUCUGUCUGUAAACAAUUGUUGGAAAAAAUUACUUGUGCCAUGCACAAAAUAGAUGUCCUAAACGACUUGCCAAAACUAAAAGAAUCUGUGGAGUGGUUAAAAAAUUAGGUUUAAUGACUUCAACCUAAGUGUACAGUGCAUCCGGAAAGUAUUCACAGCACUUCACUUUUUCCACAUUUUGUUAUGUUACAGCCUUAUUCCAAAAUGGAUUAAAUUCAUUUAUUUUCCUCAAAAUUCUACAAACAAUACCCCAUAAUGACAACGUGAAAGAAGUUUGUUUGAAAUCUUUGCAAAU
Myxocyprinus asiaticus (Chinese sucker) is the source of this 941-nucleotide long non-coding RNA. RefSeq lists it as uncharacterized. Lineage: Eukaryota; Metazoa; Chordata; Actinopteri; Cypriniformes; Catostomidae. The record is from RefSeq and is a predicted model, not a curated record. The transcript has 3 exons.